GCCGUGGCUUAGUGGCAGAACCUCUGCUUGGCAUGUAGAACGUCCCAGGUUCAAUCCCUGAUAUCACCA
Molecule: transfer RNA, 69 nt
Filed under: Sphaerodactylus townsendi
Lineage: Eukaryota; Metazoa; Chordata; Lepidosauria; Squamata; Sphaerodactylidae
Description: tRNA-Ala
Source: RNAcentral